ACGAACGCUGGCGGCGUGCUUAACACAUGCAAGUCGAACGGAGUGCCCAUGACAGAGGUUUCGGCCAAUAGAUUGGGUUACUUAGUGGCGGACUGGUGAGUAACGCGUGAGGAACCUGCCUUUCAGAGGGGGACAACAGUUGGAAACGACUGCUAAUACCGCAUGACAUAUAUUAAGGGCAUCCUUGAUAUAUCAAAGAUUUUAUCGCUGAAAGAUGGCCUCGCGUCCGAUUAGAUAGUUGGCGGGGUAACGGCCCACCAAGUCGACGAUCAGUAGCCGGUCUGAGAGGAUGAACGGCCACACUGGAACUGAGACACGGUCCAGACUCCUACGGGAGGCAGCAGUGGGGAAUCUUCCGCAAUGGGCGCAAGCCUGACGGAGCAACGCCGCGUGAGUGAAGAAGGGUUUCGGCUCGUAAAGCUCUGUUGAAGGGGACGAACAACAGGUGUAGGAAAUGAUAUCUGUUUGACGGUACCUUUCGAGGAAGCCACGGCUAACUACGUG
Molecule: ribosomal RNA, 504 nt
Filed under: uncultured bacterium
Lineage: Bacteria
Description: bacterial SSU rRNA
Rfam family: Bacterial small subunit ribosomal RNA
Source: RNAcentral